Molecule: antisense RNA, 69 nt
Filed under: Saccharothrix australiensis
Lineage: Bacteria; Bacillati; Actinomycetota; Actinomycetes; Pseudonocardiales; Pseudonocardiaceae
Description: ASpks TB sRNA
Rfam family: ASpks TB sRNA
Source: Rfam by way of RNAcentral
CUUCAGCGAGCCCAGCCACAGCGGCUCGACGCGGUCCUGGCCGUAGGUGUCCAGCAGGGCCUGCGCCUC